RNAcentral lists this unclassified non-coding RNA (206 nucleotides) under rhizosphere metagenome. RNAcentral's name for it is "partial ribosomal RNA internal transcribed spacer region". The record is from RNAcentral.
GUAGGUGAACCUGCGGAGGGAUCAUUACUGAGUUUGUGGCCUUCGGGCCCGACCUCCAACCCUUGUGUUAACCAAACCACGUUGCCCCGGGGGCGACCCCGCCGUUCGCGGCGCGGGGCUCCCGGCGGUCCACCAAACACUGCAUCAUUGCGUCUGAGCGAUUUAUAAAUGAAUCAAAACUUUCAACAACGGAUCUCUUGGUUCUG